AUAAAUGGUGAAAUUUCGUGUUUGAUGCAUAUGCUAGUAAAGAACUUAUAAGGAAUAUCUGUUGAUCUUGAAACACUGGCAGAUACACUACUCGUUAGAUUAGAGAUUGGAGGGACUUAGAAAAAUCUGUUAGUAAUCCAGAUGAAAAUAUGCAACGCAAGCAUGCAUGCAUGAGUUGUAUGCUUCUCUCGUUUCAAUUAAGCGG
RNAcentral lists this unclassified non-coding RNA (205 nucleotides) under Hevea brasiliensis (rubber tree). The record is from RNAcentral. Lineage: Eukaryota; Viridiplantae; Streptophyta; Magnoliopsida; Malpighiales; Euphorbiaceae.